UGAGGAAUAUUGGUCAAUGGGCGAGAGCCUGAACCAGCCAAGUAGCGUGCAGGAUGACGGCCCUAUGGGUUGUAAACUGCUUUUAUGUGGGGAUAAAGUGCGUGACGUGUCAUGCAUUGCAGGUACCACAUGAAUAAGGACCGGCUAAUUCCGUGCCAGCAGCCGCGGUAAUACGGAAGGUCCGGGCGUUAUCCGGAUUUAUUGGGUUUAAAGGGAGCGUAGGCUGUCUAUUAAGCGUGUUGUGAAAUAUACCGGCUCAACCGGUGGCUUGCAGCGCGAACUGGUCGACUUGAGUAUGCGCAACGUUGGCGGAAUUCGUCGUGUAGCGGUGAAAUGCUUAGAUAUGACGAGGAACUCCGAUUGCGAAGGCAGCUGACGGGAGCGGCACUGACGCUUAAGCUCGAAGGUGCGGGUAUCAAACAGG
Molecule: ribosomal RNA, 424 nt
Filed under: Verrucomicrobiota bacterium
Lineage: Bacteria; Pseudomonadati; Verrucomicrobiota
Description: Verrucomicrobia bacterium partial 16S ribosomal RNA
Rfam family: Bacterial small subunit ribosomal RNA
Source: RNAcentral